AGGGCCAACGGUGGAUGCCUUGGCGUCAAGGGCCGAUGAAGGGCGUAGCACGUCUGCGAUAAGCCUCGGCUAGCUGUCAAGCAAGCUUAACCGGGGAUUCCCGAAUCGGGGAACCGGUCCUAGAGAAACUAGGACAUCCUCAGCUGAACACAUAGGCUGAGGGAGGUAACCAGGGGAACUGAAACAUCUAAGUACCCUGAGGAAUAUAAAGCAACCGCGAUUCCCUAAGUAGUGGUGAGCGAACGGGGAACAGCCUAAACCUGCAGGGUUUAGUGGCCUGAGGGCCUAUACCUUGUGGGGGUUGUACGGCAUAUCGGCAUGAGCCUCAGUGAUUGCACAGAGUUACAAAUCUGCUUUCUAGCUGAAGGAACCUGGAAAGGACCGCCAUAGGGGGUGAUAGCCCCGUAAGCGAAAGGAAGUAGACUCUGGAUAUGUUCGUGAGUACCACGGGACACGAGAAAUCCCGUGGGAAGCUGGGGGGACCACCCUCCAAGGCUAAAUACCCUUGACGACCGAUAGUGUACAAGUACCGUGAGGGAAAGGUGAAAAGAACCCCUGAAGGGGAGUGAAAUAGACCUGAAACCGUGGGCCUACAAGCGGUCGGAGCCUCGAUUUAUCGGGGUGACGGCGUGCCUAUUGAAGAAUGAGCCGGCGAGUUACUCCUGUGUGGCAAGGUUAAGGAAUUUAUACGUUCCGGAGCCGUAGCGAAAGCGAGUCUGAAUAGGGCGUCCAGUCGCACGGGGUAGACCCGAAACCGGGUGAGCUACCCAUGGCCAGGGUGAAGCCUCGAUAGUCUCGAGGUGGAGGCCCGAACCCGUGUACGUUGCAAAGUGCUGGGAUGAGCUGUGGUUAGAGGUGAAAUUCCAACCGAACCCGGAGAUAGCUGGUUCUCCCCGAAAUGCAUUGAGGUGCAGCCUCAAGGGAGAGGAACGGAGGUAGGGCUCUGAAUGGGCUAGGGGGCGCAAGCUUACUGAACCCAAUCAAACUUCGAAUGCCGUUCUGUCUAUGCCUUGGGAGUGAGACAGUGGGGGAUAAGCUCCAUUGUCAAAAGGGAAACAGCCCAGACCACCAAUUAAGGUCCCUAAAUACAGGCUAAGUGUCAAAGGAAGUAUGGUCACCCAGACAACCAGGAGGUUGGCUUAGAAGCAGCCACCCUUUAAAGAGUGCGUAAUAGCUCACUGGUCAAGGGACUGUGCGCCGACAAUUUAUCGGGGCUAAAGCCUGUUACCGAAAUUGUGGCUUCCGCUUACGCGGAGGGGUAGGGGAGCGUUCUAUAUGCACUGAAGCUCAACUGUAAGGUUGGGUGGAGCGUAUAGAAGUGAGAAUGCCGGCAUGAGUAAUGUGAAGAUGCGUGAGAACCGCAUCCGCCGAAAGUCUGAGGUUUCCUACGCAACGUCGUUCGGCGUAGGGUUAGUCGGUCCUAAGUCGAGGCCGCAAGGCGUAGACGAUGGAUAGCUGGUUAAUAUUCCAGCGCCACCCAUGGAUCGUUUUAAGGCUAAGGAGGGACACGGGAAGCUAGGUAGAGCGUGCCUAUUGGACAUGGUACGUCGGAACCUGUAGGUGAUCUCGGGAUAGGAAAAUCCGUUCCGAGGCUUGAGCUGAGGGGUAAUGCGACUUUAGGGCUUAGCCCUAGGGAAGUCUAUUGAUGCUACACCGGCAAGAAAAACUUCGUAGCUAGAGUCAUGGGUGUCCGUACCGCAAACCGACACUGGUGGACUGGUAUAAAUGUACUAAGGCGGACGAGAGAACCAUCCUUAAGGAACUCGGCAAAUUGACUCCGUAACUUUGGGAGAAGGAGUGCCCUGGGACGUGUACCCCCUUGCGGGAGAAGCGUUUUGGGGUCGCAGAUAAGAGGCUCUGGUGACUGUUUAACAAAAACACAGGUCCCUGCUUAAGUCGUAAGACGAUGUAUAGGGGCUGACGCCUGCCCAGUGCCGGAAGGUCAAGAGGCGCGGUGAGAGCUGCAAUUGAAGCCCCGGUGAACGGCGGCCGUAACUAUAACGGUCCUAAGGUACCGAAAUCCCUUGUCAGGUAAGUUCUGACCCGCAGGAAAGGCGUAACAACUGGAGCGCUGUCUCAAGGAUGGUCUCGAUGAAAUUGAAGUACGAGUGAAGAUGCUCGUUACCCGCAGCAGGACAAAAAGACCCCGUGGAGCUUUACUGCAACCUGACAUUGAUCCGAGGAUACAGUUGUGUAGCAUAGGUGGGAGGCUAUGAAACUCAGACGCCAGUUUGAGCGGAGCCAUCGUUGAAAUACCACUCUUCUCUGUUUUUG
This 2274-nucleotide ribosomal RNA is filed under the name marine metagenome. RNAcentral describes it as "bacterial LSU rRNA". It matches the Rfam family "Bacterial large subunit ribosomal RNA", at positions 14 to 2218 of the family's 2925-position model. The record is from RNAcentral.